CAGUAGUCACGAGUUUGAUCCUGGCUACAGAACGAACGCUGGCGGCAUGCCUAACACAUGCAAGUCGAACGAUAAGCCACCUUCGGGUGGUGGACAGUGGCGCACGGGUGAGUAACACGUGGGGACCUGCCUGAUAGUACGGAAAAACAGUUGGAAACGACUGCUAAUACCGUAUACGCCCUUCGGGGGAAAGAUUUAUCGCUAUCAGAUGGACCCGCGCUAGAUUAGAUAGUUGGUGAGGUAAUGGCUCACCAAGUCGACGAUCUAUAGCUGGUUUGAGAAGAUGAUCAGCCACAUUGGGACUGAGACACGGCCCAGACUCCUACGGGAGGCAGCAGUGGGGAAUAUUGUACAAUGGGCGCAAGCCUGAUACAGCAAUGCCGCGUGAGUGAAGACGGCCUUAGGGUUGUAAAACUCUUUCGCCAGGGAAGAUAAUGACGGUACCUGGUAAAGAAGUCCCGGCUAACUCCGUG
RNAcentral lists this ribosomal RNA (473 nucleotides) under uncultured bacterium. RNAcentral describes it as "bacterial SSU rRNA". It matches the Rfam family "Bacterial small subunit ribosomal RNA", at positions 1 to 507 of the family's 1533-position model. The record is from RNAcentral.